Molecule: long non-coding RNA, 276 nt
Filed under: Actinidia chinensis (golden kiwifruit)
Lineage: Eukaryota; Viridiplantae; Streptophyta; Magnoliopsida; Ericales; Actinidiaceae
Description: long non-coding RNA (ACHI_LNC005086)
Source: RNAcentral
AAAAGUGUUCUAAAUCGAUUUCUGAUCACACCAUCGUGUUCGGCUCGUCGAGACGGAGUUUCAGAAGCCAAAACAGUCGAAAACGGAACUCUCACGCGCCCUCACGCGCGGCUUCUUUGUCGGCGCGUCAUCUCACCCUCAGCACGCGCCAGCACGCGCAGUCAGCCUCCCGCGCGCGUCAGCACGCACUCAGUUGCUCUCUCACGCGCCUACACGCGCGUCUUCAGUACACUCGCGCCACACGCGCGCGUGGCAUCCACGCGCCUGCCCAGUCAC